Molecule: long non-coding RNA, 569 nt
Filed under: Nicotiana benthamiana
Lineage: Eukaryota; Viridiplantae; Streptophyta; Magnoliopsida; Solanales; Solanaceae
Description: long non-coding RNA (NBEN_LNC033746)
Source: RNAcentral
GUACAUCUGAAUACAUAAAUUAUAAUAAUUUAAAAAAACAUAUGAAAAUACAUUCAUGGAAUAUAGAGGGACAGUGACUACAAUGAAAUACAUAGAAUACAACGAGAUACAUUGAAAUACAAUUAAAAAAUAUAAUAAAAUAAAUCGAGAUACAUUGAAAUAUAUAGCAGAAAAUUUAAGUUGCUCAGCCGGGAAAGGAGGGAGUACCCAGAGGUGUUUCUUCAUCAUCAAACACAUCUUCGAAAUUCAACGAAUAACUCAACGAAUCAUAACAGAACUAAUCAGUAGAGGAGAAAUAUUGUCUUUUGUGGCUUAGAUCCAAAAAUGAAAAAUAGUAAAAACCUUAUCAUUUAAACUUGGGAGGUUAUUGGUUCCCAAAUCAGUGUCGGAUUCUCACGGAGGAUGACGGCAGAGGCGGAAGAGAAGGGUGGCGGUGAGGAGAGCAAUAAAAGAAGCAAAAUGAGUUCUUCAACUUUUGUUUUAGAGAUGGAGCUGAAUUAGGUAUAGAAAAAGGAUGAUUUUCGUCCAUUGGAGUUUGAGAUUUAGGAGUAAAAAAUGGAGGAGAAAUU